This 259-nucleotide long non-coding RNA is filed under the name Eucalyptus grandis. RNAcentral describes it as "long non-coding RNA (EGRA_LNC006353)". Lineage: Eukaryota; Viridiplantae; Streptophyta; Magnoliopsida; Myrtales; Myrtaceae. The record is from RNAcentral.
CGACAGCUUGGCGACUCCGCUGGGGACUUGGUUUUGAACCUUAGAGGACUUAGGCCAAAAUUAAUCUUGUUCAAAAAAAUAUUUUUGUUUGGCAGCGAGGAUUUCAGGUUAGUCCCUAACAUUAAAGGUGUUAAAUGUUUUUGUAGAAUGGGAGGUAUAAGGGGAAGUGUUUGCUCACCUUUGUUUUGUAGGGAGGUGAAGGAAUGUAUGGUUUAUUGUCCAUGUAUGAAGUGUUGAUUGCUUAUGAAUUGUCAUGCCU